UACGGGGGGAGCAAGCGUUGUUCGGAUUUACUGGGCGUAAAGGGCGCGUAGGCGGUCGUGACAAGUCACUUGUGAAAUCUCCGGGCUUAACUCGGAACGGUCAAGUGAUACUGUCGGACUAGAGUACAGAAGGGGCAACUGGAAUUCUCGGUGUAGCGGUGAAAUGCGUAGAUAUCAGGAGGAACACCGAUGGCGAAGGCAGGUCUCUGGGCAUUAACUGACGCUGAGGAGCGAAAGCGUGGGGAGCAAACAGG
This 254-nucleotide ribosomal RNA is filed under the name uncultured bacterium. Its description in RNAcentral is "partial 16S ribosomal RNA". It matches the Rfam family "Bacterial small subunit ribosomal RNA", at positions 524 to 776 of the family's 1533-position model. The record is from RNAcentral.